This 341-nucleotide unclassified non-coding RNA is filed under the name soil metagenome. RNAcentral describes it as "partial contains 5.8S ribosomal RNA, internal transcribed spacer 2, and large subunit ribosomal RNA". The stretch from base 1 to 120 matches the Rfam family "5.8S ribosomal RNA", at positions 35 to 154 of the family's 154-position model. The record is from RNAcentral.
GAUGAAGAACGCAGCGAAAUGCGAUAAGUAGUGUGAAUUGCAGAAUUCAGUGAAUCAUCGAAUCUUUGAACGCACAUUGCGCCCCUCGGUAUUCCGUGGGGCACGCCUGUUCGAGCGUCAUUUACACCCUCAAGCGCAGCUUGGUGUUGGGCGUCUGUCCCGCUCUCCGUAGCGCGGACUCGCCUCAAAGUCAUUGGCGGCGGUCGUGCCGGCUCCUCGCGCAGCACAUUUGCGCUUCUCGGAGGCCCGGCGGAUCGGCGUCCAGCAAGCUACUUUCUAUGACUUGACCUCGGAUCAGGUGAGGAUACCCGCUGAACUUAAGCAUAUCAAUAAGCGGAGGA